UUACUUUAUUAUUCAUUGCGAACAUAUUCAUUGUUUUUUUUUCGGUCAUUGUGCGAUGUGGUACAGUUGAACUAAACGAGUGUCCAAUUGUACAAUGUUGUGUUUGUACAUAAUAAGAACAUCUUAUGCAACAUUUUGUUACGCUGUGGCUCAUUUACUGUUCUUCAUUCUUUCUUUCGUAGAUUUCAUGACGAAUGAACACUUCAAUACACCGUACAAAUAAUUGUCAAUCUCAAAAAGGAAGCAAAAAUUGGGGGUGGAUCCACCUCUGUUCCCCACAACAACCGAAAGUCAAAGGAAGUUUUUUUUAAUAUCUGCAAAGCCAUCCUCCUUGUGAUAAUGACAUCAUGUAAUACGCAUGUGCGCUAAGACAGACAUUUGGUGACAGAAAACGCGGGCAUUCGAAAAUAACUGGUACUACCACAAGGUGAUCGUGUUCCUUGGUAUCCAGCUUUGGGAGGUCGACCAAACCUGCAAAACAAGGAAAUGAAAUCAAGACCAAACAUUUGAGCCAUAAAAACGUUGUCGCAGCUAUCAGAGUGAAAGUUCACGUUUUCCAAGAGAGAUUGAAAAUAAUUUCUCCAGUCUUUUUUUCUUAUCUGGCAAUCUGAAGUAAACUGCAUUAAAAUAUAUUUAAUCACCUGACAAACACGAGACGCCAGUCUUCAAAAUGGCUUCACUAUCGAGCAAACAUUACUCCAUAGUGUAGGAUGAGCUUUUUCUUGAUGUAAUUAUUGUAGAAGCUUUUCUUCUUCUGACAAACAGCAAAUUUCUCCUGCCUUUCCAAAUUGAUGAUUUCUUAGGCCCGAACUUUAUUAUUUGCUUUCUUCGGCAAUCUCCAUAAAUUUAAGAUUGUAAAUUUAAACUGUACUUUUAUGUGAAGGGGCAGAAAAUAAACAAAACAUAAUUUAAACGAAA
Pocillopora damicornis (cauliflower coral) is the source of this 918-nucleotide long non-coding RNA. Lineage: Eukaryota; Metazoa; Cnidaria; Anthozoa; Scleractinia; Pocilloporidae. The record is from RefSeq and is a predicted model, not a curated record.